AGUGAACGCUGGCGGUAGGCCUAACACAUGCAAGUCGAACGGCAGCACAGUAAGAGCUUGCUCUUACGGGUGGCGAGUGGCGGACGGGUGAGGAAUACAUAGGAAUCUACUUUUUCGUGGGGGAUAACGUAGGGAAACUUACGCUAAUACCGCAUACGACCUACGGGUGAAAGCAGGGGAUCUUCGGACCUUGCGCGAUUGAAUGAGUCGAUGUCGGAUUAGCCAGUUGGCGGGGUAAAGGCCCACCAAGGCGACGAUCCGUAGCUGGUCUGAGAGGAUGAUCAGCCACACUGGAACUGAGACACGGUCCAGACUCCUACGGGAGGCAGCAGUGGGGAAUAUUGGACAAUGGGCGCAAGCCUGAUCCAGCCAUACCGCGUGGGUGAAGAAGGCCUUCGGGUUGUAAAGCCCUUUUGUUGGGAAAGAAAAGCAGCAGGUUAAUACCCCGCUGUUCUGACGGUACCCAAAGAAUAAGCACCGGCUAACUUCGUG
This 492-nucleotide ribosomal RNA is filed under the name uncultured bacterium. RNAcentral describes it as "partial 16S ribosomal RNA". It matches the Rfam family "Bacterial small subunit ribosomal RNA", at positions 29 to 507 of the family's 1533-position model. The record is from RNAcentral.